Long non-coding RNA from Cavia porcellus (domestic guinea pig), 3657 nucleotides. RefSeq lists it as uncharacterized. The transcript has 3 exons. Lineage: Eukaryota; Metazoa; Chordata; Mammalia; Rodentia; Caviidae. The record is from RefSeq and is a predicted model, not a curated record.
UCCAUAGCAGCGGAGGACUGUUAGGUUUCCAGGCUGGAUGUGCGGAUUUGGGCGUGACAGGAGCCGCCUUCCUGAGCUGCCCGUCUUAGUGAGGUCACGGUGGGAGCCCGCGGUCCCCAAAGAACCUGCAGCGGCAGAGAGUUGGCCUUGAUGGCCGGGGGUCAGUUUCUCCGGGGCAGGCAGGACUUGCAGGGUCGUGCUGCCGCUGGUUCCCCACAGUUCUAUCAUAUGGUUCCCUGACUGGGAACGGUAGAUGAAAGACUCCUGGGGCUUUCCCAGUUUGAGUCCCCUGCCAUUCAGGACCAGGAUCAGACUACAUCCUGCAUUAACUCCUCACUUCUACACUCAGAAGCUGUAAACUUGUUGCUGCUGGCUGGCAAACAACACCGACCCAAUUUACCACAGCCCUCACAGGAAAUGCCAACACUGCCAGAUUCAUCGCCAACAGAUCUGCUUAAACUUGCUGCUAAAGACCAACGGGGCUCAGGGCCAACAACAGCCCCCUUUAUGGGUGUCUGUCGCAGAGUCCAAGUCCCACUAAAAGUCUCAGGUAAGACAUUCUCUACACUUGUGGACAUAGAGGCAAUAUGUACAGAGUUCUUCCUGAGUUUUCAGGCUGGAAUAGUAAGUCCUCAACCUCUGGGGGUAUUAAAGGUCAACAGCGCCUGCCUUGCAAGCAGGCAGUUGUGAGUUCAAUCCCUGGUACCGAUAAAAAUCGAAAAAGACAAAAAAAAAAAGAUAAAAACACAGGGCUGGGGAUUUAGCUCAGUGGCAUAAGCGCCUGCCUUGCAAGCAGGCAGUCGUGAGUUCAAUCCCUGGUACUGAUAAAAACUGAAAAAGACAAAAAAAAAGGUAUUAAAGGUCAACCUAUGCCAUUUACAAACAGGCCCUAUUUCAUACAGGUUCUAAACUGCUUCUUCCCAAUCCACCCAGUGGUGCAAAAUCUUCCCUCCACCACUCACUCUAUAGUCCUAAAUCUUAAAAAUGCUUUUUAGGGGGCUGGGGAUUUAGCUCAGCGGCAUAAGCACCUGCCUUGCAAGCAGGCAGUCGUGAGUUCGAUCCCUGGUACCGAUAAAAAGGAAAAAGACAAAAAAAAAAAAAAAAAAAAAAAAAGCUUCUUAUUCCCUUGUGUUUACAGGCUGACCCAGACACUGAGGCCUCAACAGCUUACACCUGUUAUUGCUAGUAAACCUCUCCUCAGUGAUAUAUAAACCAGGCCCCCUUUUUCUUAUUCACCAAUUUCUCAGACAACCCUGGUCAAGACUGGCAGAUAAAUUUUGUCUUCUCACCUUUGUUUAUACUUUUUCAGGAUUCAUAAAAGCCUUUCACACAACCAGGGAGACUGCUGAUAUACUUGCUAAAGUUCUGUUACAACAAAUCAUUCCAAGAACUACAACCAGGUUACAGCGACCCAUACCUGAUAUUCUUGGCAACCUCAAGAGUGAUCGAAGUUGCUAGACUGCCAUCCUGGUCUCACAUCACUCAGGCUAAGUGGUGCCCUUCCAGCCCUAGAUCUAACCAUCCUUUUGCCUACUCAUCUCCAUUUCACCAAGGCCUCACAACUCUCAGGCUGUUAUGUUUUGUUAUCCAAUUUGGUUUCUAAUUUCUUAUUCUUUUUACAGCAGGACUCUUAACAGUAUUUCCUAAAGACUCCCACAUCAUACAUACCAGAGACAAGCCUUACGCUCUUAACUUUUACCCUUUCAGAUGGGGGAGUAAUCACCUCUUAUAACUUCACUCCUCCUAACCCCACAUUUAUUUUUCACAAUUCUACCUUACUGUGGCAAUAAUUCUGCCUCAACGUGGUCCUGAUAUAAUGACAUGUCUAAAUCAAAGGCACCUCCCCUUCUACCUCACCUGGGUCCUUAAAUAUGACAGUGCCAUGCCUCUUCAUAAUAUCUUGUCUCUUUGUUUUUCCAGUCUAACAUACAUGCAUUCACUAGCAAAGUUGUCCUGGCUAAAACACCUGGCACCAGCUUCUACCUGGGCAUCAACCGUCAUCCCAUCGACUCCCCUAGACCCCAGCACAGCACCCCUUUACAGCAGGAAGCAGUAAAGAGAGAAAUCUUUGCCCCUUUUUAUAAUAAUAAUCAUAAGAUGGGAUAUGAAAGAGUUUGGGCCCAGACAGGACACUGUAGCUGGUAAAGCCUCAGGUGGAACCAAGGAGCUCCAUCUUCCCCACCCCUAGGAAUUUACCUAUGGCACCAAAAGAACACCAAUGGGCUACCUGUGCAUCACUAAUGCCCCCUUAGGUUCCACCCCAAACCUAGGCUACUUAUAUGCCCCCUCUCCACGUGUUCCAUGGAGAGAUUGCCAACCCCGGGGGGAGAGAUGCCGUGCCCCAGGGAAUCGGGGGUGUCUCUCCCCUCAUUCUCAAAAUAAAGAUCAUUUAUGUUUCAUACUUCUUAUCUUUUCAGCUACCGCCAAUCCCCCACAGUUCUAUCUAUUUUUUUUAUUUUAAAGAGAAGAAAAGAAAAUGAAACAAAGCAAAUCAGAACAGGAAAAUGCAAGCAACACAGCACUUCACAACAAAACAACUAGACAUCAACAGUAGCUAACAUGUUUUUUUCUUUGAAAUAGUUGAGCAUACUUUCACCUUCACACACAAUAAUAUCAAACAUAACCAUAUAGUAAAAAAAAAAAUUCAAAAGAAUGAAAGCAUUGGGCUGGGGAUUUAGCUCAGAGGCAUAAGCGCCUGCCCUGCAAGCAGGCAGUCGUGAAUUCAAUCCCUGGUACCGAUUAAAAAAAAAAAAUGAAAGCAUUACAGGACUUCAAAAGCAAAAAUAGGAGAGGAACAGUGCCUGCUAUAAUACCUCAUUUUCCUCAAAAAAUUUGUCUAUAACAUCAUACAUAAUACAAUCAAAUAAAACACAACAGGAUAGAACCAAUCGAAGAACAAAAGCAUGGUAGGACUUUAAAACAACAUGAUAGUAAAUCAGCAAUAGCUACCAUAAUAUCUUGUUUUCUUCAAAAUAGUGUUCACACCUUCUCACAUAAUAAAAUCAAAACAAAACAAAAUAAAAUCAGACAAAUGAAUGAAAGCAUUAUAAGACUUCAAAACAAUGUAAUAGGAAACCAUGAUUACCAUAUUUCCCAAUAUAUUCAAAAUAGCUGCCCCUACCAAAUGAAAGCAUAAAAUCUAACAACAGAACAAAGCCAAACCUAAUAAAAUUGUGUAAACAAUGCAAGAGUUCAAGAUAAGAUAAUUAAGAAAUUGACAGUAGUUUCCACCUUUCUCUUCCUUUGCUCUUCCCCUCCCCUCCCCUUUGAUCAACAGUAUCUGCAGUAUACUCGUCAUCUUAUUGGUUGACCAUAGUUCUGCCCCGCCUUCUGCCUACCUUGCGACUUCCCAUUGGAUCAAUGUUACCUAAAUGCCUAUGCUUGCAAUCUUAUUGGUUGAUUAUAGUUUUGUUCCACCUUAGACCCGCCUUGAUCAUGGUUUUGCUCUAUAAAAUUCUGCCUUGAGAGGCAGGCUAUCCAGCAAACCACUUGGGACCCUUCUGUAUCUCUUAGAAACUUUGUUUACUCCAAUAAAUAUUUUCUGCUCUUAACCUCCGUUAUUCCUUAGAACUUAUUCUCUCUCCUUUUUUUUUGGUACUGGAGCUCAAACUCAUGACCUCACACUUGCCAGGCAGCUGCUUUGCCGCUGAGCUAUAA